AAUACGUUCCCGGACCUUGCACACACCGCCCGUCAAGCCAUGGAAGCUGGGUGUACCUAAAGUCGAUAACCGCAAGGAGUCGCCUAGGGUAAAACUAGUAACUGGGGCU
Molecule: ribosomal RNA, 109 nt
Filed under: uncultured bacterium
Lineage: Bacteria
Description: partial 16S ribosomal RNA
Rfam family: Bacterial small subunit ribosomal RNA
Source: RNAcentral